RNAcentral lists this ribosomal RNA (253 nucleotides) under uncultured bacterium. RNAcentral's name for it is "partial 16S ribosomal RNA". It matches the Rfam family "Bacterial small subunit ribosomal RNA", at positions 524 to 776 of the family's 1533-position model. The record is from RNAcentral.
UACGGGGGGGGCAAGCGUUGUUCGGAAUUACUGGGCGUAAAGGGCUCGUAGGUGGCCAACUAAGUCGGACGUGAAAUCCCUCAGCUUAACUGGGGAACUGCGUCCGAUACUGGAUGGCUUGAGUUUGGGAGAGGGAUGCGGAAUUCCAGGUGUAGCGGUGAAAUGCGUAGAUAUCUGGAGGAACACCGGUGGCGAAGGCGGCUUUCUGGACAGAUACCGACGCUGAGGCACGAAAGCUAGGGGAGCAAACAGG